GGGUCGAAACGACCUUAACCUAUUCUCAAACUUUAAAUGGGUAAGAAUCUCACCUUUCUUGGUAUGAAGGUUGUGAUUGUGAUAUAAAUGUGCCCAGUGGGCCACUUUUGGUAAGCAGAACUGGCGCUGUGGGAUGAACCAAACGUAAUGUUACGGUGCCCAAAUUAAUAACUCAUGCAGAUACCAUGAAAGGCGUUGGUUGCUUAAAACAGCAGGACGGUGGACAUGGAAGUCGUAAUCCGCUAAGGAGUGUGUAACAACUCACCUGCCGAAGCAACUAGCCCUUAAAAUGGAUGGCGCUUAAGUUAUAUACCUAUACAUUACCGCUAAAGUAAAUGGUUUAUAUUCAAUUUAAAUUUUUUUAAUUUGGAUAAUAAAUUUUGAUACUUUAGUGAGUAGGAGGGUACGAUGGUGUGCGUAGAAGUGUUUGGCGUAAGCCUGCAUGGAGCCGCCAUUGGUACAGAUCUUGGUGGUAGUAGCAAAUAAUCGAAUGAGACCUUGGAGGACUGAAGUGGAGAAGGGUUUCGUGUGAACAGUGGUUGAUCACGAGUUAGUCGGUCCUAAGUUCAAGGCGAAAGCUGAAAAUUUUCAAGUUAUAAUAUUAAUAAUAAUAUAUUUAUGUGUAAUGAAACACUUGAAAAUUAAUUGAACGAAAGGGAAUACGGUUCCAAUUCCGUAACCUGUUGAGUAUCCGUUUGUUUAUUAAAUGUGGGCCUUGUGCUCAUCCUGGCAACAGGAACGACCAUAAAGAAGCCGUCGAGAGAUAUCGGAAGAGUUUUCUUUUCUGUUUUAUAGUCGUAUUACCAUGGAAGUCUUUCGAAGAGAGAUAUGGUAGAUGGACUAGAAGAGCAUGACAUUUACUGUUGUGUCGAUAUUUUCUCCUCGGACCUUGAAAAUUUAUGGUGGGGUCACGCAAACUUCUCAACAGGCCGUACCAAUAUCCGCAGCUGGUCUCCAAGGUGAAGAGUCUCUAGU
This 975-nucleotide ribosomal RNA is filed under the name Ornithoctona sp. P-20. Its description in RNAcentral is "eukaryotic LSU rRNA". It matches the Rfam family "Eukaryotic large subunit ribosomal RNA", at positions 1033 to 1887 of the family's 3401-position model. Lineage: Eukaryota; Metazoa; Arthropoda; Insecta; Diptera; Hippoboscidae. The record is from RNAcentral.